GUGGGGAAUAUUGGGCAAUGGGGGCAACCCUGACCCAGCGACGCCGCGUGAGGGAAGAAGGCCUUCGGGUUGUAAACUGCUUUUGUACGGAACGAAACGGUCCUGGUUAAUACCUGGGGCUAAUGACGGUACCGUAAGAAUAAGCACCGGCUAACUACGUGCCAGCAGCCGCGGUAAUACGUAGGGUGCGAGCGUUAAUCGGAAUUACUGGGCGUAAAGCGUGCGCAGGCGGUGCUGUAAGACAGGCGUGAAAUCCCCGGGCUCAACCUGGGAAUUGCGCUUGUGACUGCAGUGCUGGAGUACGGCAGAGGGGGAUGGAAUUCCGCGUGUAGCAGUGAAAUGCGUAGAUAUGCGGAGGAACACCGAUGGCGAAGGCAGUCCCCUGGGCCUGUACUGACGCUCAUGCACGAAAGCGUGGGGAGCAAACAGGAUUAGAAACCCUGGUAGUCC
This 450-nucleotide ribosomal RNA is filed under the name uncultured bacterium. Its description in RNAcentral is "partial 16S ribosomal RNA". It matches the Rfam family "Bacterial small subunit ribosomal RNA", at positions 354 to 796 of the family's 1533-position model. The record is from RNAcentral.